Molecule: ribosomal RNA, 433 nt
Filed under: uncultured Adlercreutzia sp.
Lineage: Bacteria; Bacillati; Actinomycetota; Coriobacteriia; Eggerthellales; Eggerthellaceae
Description: partial 16S ribosomal RNA
Rfam family: Bacterial small subunit ribosomal RNA
Source: RNAcentral
ACGGGAGGCAGCAGUGGGGAAUUUUGCGCAAUGGGGGGAACCCUGACGCAGCAACGCCGCGUGCGGGAUGGAGGCCUUCGGGCUGUAAACCGCUUUCAGCAGGGAAGAUAACGACGGUACCUGCAGAAGAAGCUCCGGCUAACUACGUGCCAGCAGCCGCGGUAAUACGUAGGGGGCGAGCGUUAUCCGGAUUCAUUGGGCGUAAAGCGCGCGUAGGCGGCUGCCUAAGCGGAGUUUCUAACCUUGGGGCUCAACCUCAAGCCGGACUCCGAACUGGGCGGCUCGAGUGCGGUAGGGGCAGGCGGAAUUCCAUGUGUAGCGGUGAAAUGCGCAGAUAUAUGGAAGAACACCGAUGGCGAAGGCAGCCUGCUGGGCCGACACUGACGCUCAGGUGCGAAAGCUAGGGGAGCAAACAGGAUUAGAUACCCUGGUA